ACCUCCUCACCUCACAAAGAUUUAUAAUGACGCUGAUAGCUGAACCAGGAAGAAGGGGAGCUGAGAGAAGUGAAACUACAGAUGAAGGAGGAGACGGAGAGAUUCAGGGAGGAGCUGAGCUGUUACUGAACUAUAGAACAGACACAAACUUCCACAUUCAACACAGUUCAACAUACAAACCACAAACAUUCACUCUGUUCAACAUGGACUGUUGUGGGCUUUUUCUGCUGGUUGUCACUAUUCUAACAGGAGUCAGCUGUGAACAGCUGACUGCAGUGAAGAAUGAAGAGUCCAGUUUAGAAGGAGCCACUGUUACUCUGUCCUACAAUUACUCUAGAGAUGCUGCUAUUGGUGAUUAUUUCUUCUGGUACCGGCAACAUCCAGGAGAACCUCCAGAGUUCCUGAUCUCUCACACAGGAACAGAAACACUUCUAUCACAGAAAGUGUCUGGACUGAGUUUUACUGUGAGUGAUGAUAAAAGACGCGUGGACCUGCUGAUCUCCUCUGCUGCAGCGACAGACUCUGCUGUGUACUACUGUGCUGUGAAGCCCACAGUGACAGGAAACAGUAAAAUUGUGUAGAAAACCUGCAGAGCAAAGACAACACAAUACUCCACAACAUCCACUAGAGGGACUCACACAGUGGGAACUCACUGGUUGUUGAGUUGUUGGACUGAUGACAAAGACAACAGACACACGAAGCAGCAGAAACAAG
Nothobranchius furzeri (turquoise killifish) is the source of this 714-nucleotide non-coding RNA. The record is from the annotation of a RefSeq genome assembly. Lineage: Eukaryota; Metazoa; Chordata; Actinopteri; Cyprinodontiformes; Nothobranchiidae.